CCUGUUCCAUUACCAGUUACAGUUCCUCUUCCCCGUCCAGUAGCACUAGCCUAUAACAUAAGUUGAUGAACAAAAAUAUUAGACUGAUUAAGAUGUAAAUUAACAACUACAUGAAUUACUAUAAACAUUACCUGUUUUGUAGAACCUCUUGGUCGACCUCUUCCUCUCUUUGUGCUUGAUUGUGAUUCAGUUGGUGCUCUAGAAGAACCAACACUUGACCUUGUUGAACUAGGCUCACAUCCUCUCCCCAUUCCUCUUCCUCUGCCUGCAUUAGCUUGAUU
This 281-nucleotide long non-coding RNA is filed under the name Solanum tuberosum (potato). RNAcentral's name for it is "long non-coding RNA (STUB_LNC007287)". The record is from RNAcentral. Lineage: Eukaryota; Viridiplantae; Streptophyta; Magnoliopsida; Solanales; Solanaceae.